UACGUAGGGUGCGAGCGUUGUCCGGAAUUAUUGGGCGUAAAGAGCUCGUAGGCGGUGUGUCACGUCGGCCGUGAAAACCUGCAGCUUAACUGUGGGCGUGCGGUCGAUACGGGCAUCACUGGAGUUCGGCAGGGGAGACUGGAAUUCCUGGUGUAGCGGUGAAAUACGCAGAUAUCAGGAGGAACACCGGUGGCGAAGGCGGGUCUCUGGGCCGAUACUGACGCUGAGGAGCGAAAGCGUGGGGAGCAAACAGG
RNAcentral lists this ribosomal RNA (254 nucleotides) under uncultured bacterium. RNAcentral's name for it is "partial 16S ribosomal RNA". It matches the Rfam family "Bacterial small subunit ribosomal RNA", at positions 524 to 776 of the family's 1533-position model. The record is from RNAcentral.